Molecule: ribosomal RNA, 422 nt
Filed under: uncultured bacterium
Lineage: Bacteria
Description: bacterial SSU rRNA
Rfam family: Bacterial small subunit ribosomal RNA
Source: RNAcentral
UGAGGAAUAUUGGGCAAUGCCCGCAAGGGUGGCCCAGCAACGCCGCGUGGAGGAUGAAUGUCGUAAGAUUGUAAACUCCUGUUAGAGGGGAAGAAUAGUACCGGUUGGACCGGUAUAUGACUGUACCCUCAGAGAAAGCCCCGGCUAACUACGUGCCAGCAGCCGCGGUAAUACGUAGGGGGCAAGCGUUGUCCGGAUUUACUGGGUGUAAAGGGCGCGCAGGCGGGAUAAAAAGUCAGUGGUGAAAUCCUACAGCUUAACUGUAGAACUGCCUUUGAUACUUUCAUUCUUGAGUUCGGGAGAGAGAGACGGAAUUCCAGGUGUAGUGGUGAAAUACGUAGAUAUCUGGAAGAACACCAGUUGCGAAGGCGGUCUCUUGGUCCGAUACUGACGCUGAGGCGCGAAAGCGUGGGGAGCAAACA